UAGGGAAUCUUCGGCAAUGGGGGCAACCCUGACCGAGCAACGCCGCGUGAGUGAAGAAGGUUUUCGGAUCGUAAAGCUCUGUUGUAAGUCAAGAACGAGUGUGAGAGUGGAAAGUUCACACUGUGACGGUAGCUUACCAGAAAGGGACGGCUAACUACGUGCCAGCAGCCGCGGUAAUACGUAGGUCCCGAGCGUUGUCCGGAUUUAUUGGGCGUAAAGCGAGCGCAGGCGGUUUGAUAAGUCUGAAGUUAAAGGCUGUGGCUCAACCAUAGUUCGCUUUGGAAACUGUCAAACUUGAGUGCAGAAGGGGAGAGUGGAAUUCCAUGUGUAGCGGUGAAAUGCGUAGAUAUAUGGAGGAACACCGGUGGCGAAAGCGGCUCUCUGGUCUGUAACUGACGCUGAGGCUCGAAAGCGUGGGGAGCGAACAGGAUUAGAUACCCUGGUAGUCCACGCCGUAAACGAUGAAUGCUAGGUGUUGGAUCCUUUCCGGGAUUCAGUGNCGCANCUAACGCAUUAAGCACUCCGCCUGGGGAGUACNACCGCAAGGUUG
This 550-nucleotide ribosomal RNA is filed under the name uncultured bacterium. Its description in RNAcentral is "bacterial SSU rRNA". It matches the Rfam family "Bacterial small subunit ribosomal RNA", at positions 355 to 896 of the family's 1533-position model. The record is from RNAcentral.